RNAcentral lists this ribosomal RNA (255 nucleotides) under uncultured bacterium. RNAcentral describes it as "partial 16S ribosomal RNA". It matches the Rfam family "Bacterial small subunit ribosomal RNA", at positions 524 to 776 of the family's 1533-position model. The record is from RNAcentral.
UGCAGAGGGUGCGAGCGUUGUUCGGAAUUACUGGGCGUAAAGCGCGCGCAGGCGGCCCUUUAAGUCUACCCGUGAAAUGCCGGAGCUCAACUCCGUGCACGCCGGGGGAUACUGGAGGACUGGAGACGAGUAGAGGCAAGCGGAAUUCCGGGUGUAGCGGUGGAAUGCGUAGAGAUCCGGAAGAACACCGGAGGCGAAGGCGGCUUGCUGGGCUUGGUCUGACGCUGAGGCGCGAAAGCGUGGGGAGCGAACAGG